ACUAACAAGGAUUCCCCUAGUAACUGCGAGUGAAGCGGGAAAAGCUCAAAUUUAAAAUCUGGCGCAAGCCCGAGUUGUAGUCUGUAGAAGCGUUUUCGGUCGUUGCACUCGGACAAGUCCCUUGGAACAGGGCGUCAUAGAGGGUGAGAAUCCCGUCCUUGCCGAGCCAGCCACGUCUUUGCGAUACGCCUUCCAAGAGUCGAGUUGUUUGGGAAUGCAGCUCAAAACGGGUGGUAAAUUCCAUCUAAAGCUAAAUAUUGGCGAGAGACCGAUAGCGAACAAGUACCGUGAGGGAAAGAUGAAAAGGACUUUGGAAAGAGAGUUAAACAGUACGUGAAAUUGCUGAAAGGGAAGCGCUUGAAGUCAGUCGCGUUGGCAGGGACUCAGCCUUAACCGGUGCACUUCCCUGUGGACGGGCCAACAUCGAUUUCGGCCGCGGAAUAAGGACGUGAGGAACGUGGCAGCUCCGGCUGUGUUAUAGCCUUGCGUCGCACGCCGCGGAUGGGAUCGAGGACCGCGGCUUCGUGCCUAGGAUGUUGGCGUAAUGGCUUUAAGCGACCCGUCUUGAAACACGGACCAAGGAGUCUAACAUGUCUGCGAGUGUUUGGGUGUCAAACCCGUGCGCGCAAUGAAAGUAAACGUAGGUGGGAGGCCUCGGCCGCACCAUCGACCGAUCCGGAUCUCUUGGGAUGGAUUUGAGUAAGAGCAUACAUGUUGGGACCCGAAAGAUGGUGAACUAUGCCUGAAUAGGGUGAAGCCAGAGGAAACUCUGGUGGAGGCUCGUAGCGAUUCUGACGUGCAAAUCGAUCGUCAAAUUUGGGUAUA
Molecule: ribosomal RNA, 825 nt
Filed under: Calocera fusca
Lineage: Eukaryota; Fungi; Basidiomycota; Dacrymycetes; Dacrymycetales; Dacrymycetaceae
Description: eukaryotic LSU rRNA
Rfam family: Eukaryotic large subunit ribosomal RNA
Source: RNAcentral